CCAGGGUGACCGCUCACCCCAGUAUUCUGUUGUGUCAUAUCAACAGGUCAACUGCAGUCAGUAUCCCCAAACCAAAGGGAGAGUACUGUGCACCCGGAGCUCCCAGAUGGUGUGUGGCACAGAUGGUGUGACCCACAGCAGCGAGUGUAUGCUGUGCGACCGAAUCCUGAAAACAAGAUCUGAGAUUGGUAUAAAGCAUAUAGGAGCAUGCGCUCAGAAGUAAAGGAGUUCAGACCACCAGCAAGUAUCAAAGCAGAAGCGUGACAAAGGGCAAGUCAUGGAAGAAUUGAUGUUAAGCAUCAAGGAAGUUGCUCUAAUCCUCAGUGCUGCAAAACCUGCCUUCGUCCUCCUCCUACACUCUCUAGGGGACAGUCUGGC
This 378-nucleotide long non-coding RNA is filed under the name Chrysemys picta bellii (western painted turtle). Its description in RNAcentral is "lncRNA (ENSCPBG00000001201.1)". Lineage: Eukaryota; Metazoa; Chordata; Testudines; Emydidae. The record is from RNAcentral.